This 71-nucleotide transfer RNA is filed under the name Camelus bactrianus (Bactrian camel). It matches the Rfam family "tRNA". From Rfam's summary of the family: Transfer RNA (tRNA) molecules are approximately 80 nucleotides in length. Their secondary structure includes four short double-helical elements and three loops (D, anti-codon, and T loops). Lineage: Eukaryota; Metazoa; Chordata; Mammalia; Artiodactyla; Camelidae. The record is from Rfam by way of RNAcentral. RNAcentral also lists the same sequence under 2 other names.
GAGGGUACAGCUCAGUGACAGAGUGCCUGCUUAGCAAGCACGAGGUCCUGGGUUCAAUCCCCAGUAUCCCA